RNAcentral lists this non-coding RNA (53 nucleotides) under Collinsella sp. CAG:166. RNAcentral describes it as "Enterococcus sRNA 55". It matches the Rfam family "Enterococcus sRNA 55". From Rfam's summary of the family: Name 'Ref' stands for RNA in E. faecalis. The record is from Rfam by way of RNAcentral. Lineage: Bacteria; Bacillati; Actinomycetota; Coriobacteriia; Coriobacteriales; Coriobacteriaceae.
GAUAUAUAUGGAUAAGGGGCUCCUCCGUUGGUGGACGGGGGAGUCCCUUGUUG